This 497-nucleotide ribosomal RNA is filed under the name uncultured bacterium. RNAcentral's name for it is "partial 16S ribosomal RNA". It matches the Rfam family "Bacterial small subunit ribosomal RNA", at positions 28 to 507 of the family's 1533-position model. The record is from RNAcentral.
GAUGAACGCUGGCGGCGUGCUUAACACAUGCAAGUCGAGCGAACGGACGAGUAGCUUGCUUUUCUGAUGUUAGCGGCGUACGGGUGAGUAACACGUGGUUAACCUACCUAUAAGACUGGGAUAACUUCGGGAAACCGGAGCUAAUACCGGAUAAUAUUUUGAACCGCAUGGUUCAAAAGUGAAAGACGGUCUUGCUGUCACUUAUAGAUGGAUCCGCGCUGCAUUAGCUAGUUGGUAAGGUAACGGCUUAGCAAGGCAACGAUGCAUAGCCGACCUGAGAGGGUGAUCGGCCACACUGGGAGUGAGACACGGUCCAGAGUCCUAGGGGAGGCAGCAGUAGGGAAUCUUGCGCGAUGGGCGAAAGCCUGACGGAGCAACGCCACGUGAGUGAUGCAGGUCUUCGGAUCGUAAGACUCUGUUAUUAGGGAAGAACAUAUGUGUAAGUAACUGUGCACAUCUUGACGGUACCUAAACAGAAAGCCACGGCUAACUACGUG